RNAcentral lists this ribosomal RNA (1370 nucleotides) under uncultured bacterium. RNAcentral's name for it is "bacterial SSU rRNA". It matches the Rfam family "Bacterial small subunit ribosomal RNA". The record is from RNAcentral.
AGAGUUUGAUCCUGGCUCAGGACGAACGCUGGCGGCGCGCCUAACACAUGCAAGUCGAACGAGCGAGAGAGAGCUUGCUUUCUCGAGCGAGUGGCGAACGGGUGAGUAACGCGUGAGGAACCUGCCUCAAAGAGGGGGACAACAGUUGGAAACGACUGCUAAUACCGCAUAAGCCCACGGGUCGGCAUCGACCAGAGGGAAAAGGAGCAAUCCGCUUUGAGAUGGCCUCGCGUCCGAUUAGCUAGUUGGUGAGGUAAUGGCCCACCAAGGCGACGAUCGGUAGCCGGACUGAGAGGUUGAACGGCCACAUUGGGACUGAGACACGGCCCAGACUCCUACGGGAGGCAGCAGUGGGGAAUAUUGCACAAUGGGGGAAACCCUGAUGCAGCGACGCCGCGUGGAGGAAGAAGGUCUUCGGAUUGUAAACUCCUGUUGUUGGGGAAGAUAAUGACGGUACCCAACAAGGAAGUGACGGCUAACUACGUGCCAGCAGCCGCGGUAAAACGUAGGUCACAAGCGUUGUCCGGGAAUUACUGGGUGUAAAGGGAGCGCAGGCGGGAAGACAAGUUGGAAGUGAAAUCUAUGGGCUCAACCCAUAAACUGCUUUCAAAACUGUUUUUCUUGAGUAGUGCAGAGGUAGGCGGAAUUCCCGGUGUAGCGGUGGAAUGCGUAGAUAUCGGGAGGAACACCAGUGGCGAAGGCGGCCUACUGGGCACCAACUGACGCUGAGGCUCGAAAGUGUGGGUAGCAAACAGGAUUAGAUACCCUGGUAGUCCACACCGUAAACGAUGAUUACUAGGUGUUGGGGGAUUGACCCCCUCAGUGCCGCAGUUAACACAAUAAGUAAUCCACCUGGGGAGUACGACCGCAAGGUUGAAACUCAAAGGAAUUGACGGGGGCCCGCACAAGCAGUGGAGUAUGUGGUUUAAUUCGACGCAACGCGAAGAACCUUACCAAGUCUUGACAUCCCUUGACGAUACUGGAAACAGUAUUUCUCUUCGGAGCAAGGAGACAGGUGGUGCAUGGUUGUCGUCAGCUCGUGUCGUGAGAUGUUGGGUUAAGUCCCGCAACGAGCGCAACCCUUAUGGUCAGUUACUACGCAAGAGGACUCUGGCCAGACUGCCGUUGACAAAACGGAGGAAGGUGGGGAUGACGUCAAAUCAUCAUGCCCUUUAUGACUUGGGCUACACACGUACUACAAUGGCGUUAAACAAAGAGAAGCAAGACCGCGAGGUGGAGCAAAACUCAGAAACAACGUCCCAGUUCGGACUGCAGGCUGCAACUCGCCUGCACGAAGUCGGAAUUGCUAGUAAUCGUGGAUCAGCAUGCCACGGUGAAUACGUUCCCGGGCCUUGCACACACCGCCCGUC